Molecule: long non-coding RNA, 1877 nt
Organism: Marmota monax (woodchuck)
Lineage: Eukaryota; Metazoa; Chordata; Mammalia; Rodentia; Sciuridae
Exons: 3
Source: RefSeq, a predicted model, not a curated record
AAGCCAUCAUAAAGGAACUGAGGAAUAUUUCCCCACUGUGUUCUGAGGGUCUCAAUAACUCUGAUAUUUAAAAUGAGUUGGUUCUGAAAAAUAGACUACUGCCAUUUAGUUGAUGAGUAAAACAGGAGCCAAGAAGUGGGCAAAUUGCAAACUGACGUACACAAGCCAAGCACAUUCUCUGAAAUGACAACGUUCAAGACGCAGCUAAAGUCACCACUCUGGCGGUAAGCGUGUUACAAAGAACUAGAUUUCUUUCUGGCAUCCGCAACUUGGCUGGAGUGACCACGGACGAGUUAAGGAGCGCUGGAAACGCGAGGAUCCACUGAACCCAAGAACGUGGACCCUUCCCCUCUCCACUCCAGAGUUUCAAAGGGAAGUAAAAACUGCAAGCAAAGACUCCGCAUUGCUCACAACAUCUCCAGCUCUGUGCCUGAUUAUAUUAUGUGCUCCUUAAAUACUGGCUGAAUAAACAAAUGAACCUCCUACCCUCAAAUGGAUGACUCGACAGAGAACCUCUUUGACGGCUCCAGUUCCCCGGGAAGUCUUGCUCUUUGAGUAAUGGAUGCAUUUGGUCCUCAUUGAUUUUCUUAGAGGAGACACCUUAUGGGAUAAUGACGAAGAGCCUUGGCUCUGGGCACAAACUCCAGCUCCACCACUUCCUAAUUUUGAAGUUUGCACAAGUUCCUUAACUUCUCUGAACUUCCGUUUCUUUGCUGCUAAAACGGGGAUGUCAUGAUCUAUUUUCUGCUGCUAUCACAGAAUGCCACCGAGAGAGAAAAGGACAAACAAUGGAAGUUGAUUUGGCUCAAAGUCCUGCAGGAUGGUGAAUACGAGAUCAAGGGGCCACAUCUGGGGAGGGCCUCUUGCUGUGUCUAAGCAUGGCGAAGGCAUCACAAGGUGAGAGAGAAUGAAAGAGAGAGAGAAAGGGAGAAAGAAAGGCCAAACUCCCUCUCUUUAGAACUUCUGUGACAACAUUGAUCCAUUUAAGAGGACUGAGAUCUCAUGACCUCGUCACCUCUUAAAGGUCCCACCUCUUAAUACUCCUACAAUAGCAAGUCAUCGCGACAUUAGUUUUUGUGAGACAUUUAGACCACAGUCGGGGAUAAUGGUCAUCCCCAUCUCCUUUGUUAUCAGCAAAUUGGGCGAGAUAAAGCCGAGAAGAGCUUCGUGUAGCAAGUGUUCUAUGAACGUCUGUUGCUUUGCUCAUAUGCAUUGAACCAUGACCACAUUUUAAAGCCCUUUCAUUAAUUUGUUUAUUCCUCCCAAACACACUAUGAAGUCAUUACUAUUGCUAGUCCCAUGUUACAGAUGAGAAAACGGAGGCACAGACAGGUUGGAUGACUUGCCCAAAUCACACAGAGUGGCAGAGCCAGGGUUCAAAUCCAAUCCACCUGAAUCCCAAAGGGUUGCUUGCCCUUGUUCUAAGUGUCUUUCCCUGCAUAGAGAUGCAGUUUUUAAGUCCUUUGAGAGUCAGGAAUGAGGUCCACCCUUCCCAGCCUCCAGCACAGCACCUGCACUUGGAGUAGCUCACAUCCAUCUGUUAAUUCAUUCUCUCGUUCUUCCUCUGUCCUGAUCCAGGAUAGAAUGUUCUAGAGAGAUUUCCUCCUGGCCAGGGGUAAUCACCUAUGAACACCUUUGUGUCUUAGAGAAAGGGACAGGAAGGAAAAAAGAAAAGGAGAGAAGCAUAAGGAGGAGGUGCAUGCUCAAAAGGCAGCGGUGGAAUCAGAGCUGACCUCCUUCUGGUCCCUGCCUCCCGGGGAGCACCAACCCCACCACCAGUGAGCGGCUCUGAGCGCCCGACCAAAUGCAGGCUAACUCCACUGAUUGUCUGUAACACGAUUGUCCCUCUUAAUCAAAGUGAUGUCAUUCUCUGAUUU